RNAcentral lists this unclassified non-coding RNA (202 nucleotides) under plant metagenome. RNAcentral describes it as "partial contains small subunit ribosomal RNA and internal transcribed spacer 1". The stretch from base 1 to 46 matches the Rfam family "Eukaryotic small subunit ribosomal RNA", at positions 1786 to 1831 of the family's 1831-position model. The record is from RNAcentral.
AAGUCGUAACAAGGUUUCCGUAGGUGAACCUGCGGAAGGAUCAUUAAAGAAUUAGGCUUCGCGGCCAAGUUCUCACCCUUUGUCAUUAGCCGAAACCCAUGAUUCGCUUUGGCAUGGCCCCUUGGCAGUUUCCUCGGUCCUGGCCAGCAGGUUGAUAAACCACUAGAAUCUCUGCUGUCUGAGUACUAUGCAAUAGUUAAAA